ACAUUAAUAAAAAUAAUAAUAAUAAUUAUUAUUAUUAUUUAUAGUUGUUAGAUAAUACAUGAUAACAUUAAAAACCAGUAAUCAAAAGACCAACUUACAAUAAUAUAUUUAAAAACAUGUGUCCACUGACGAUGGAAGUUUUAAGUUACUGCUGUGUAUUACGCGGUCUUUUUCAACACUGAGCGAAGUAAAGAAUGUCAGACUCGCAGUGUAGACCCCACCCUGUUAAAAAAUAACGGAGUAGGAGUUGAGAUUUUACGUCAUCUCUGUCUAUGGAGCUGAAAGGUAUCUGCUUCUGAUGAAUGAACGUAUGUUUUCAGUGCUCACUACAAAUACUCAAUAUUUUUUUAAGAAAGAGUAUUCAUAGAACAAUUAAAUUAUUUAUAGAACUUCCUGUUAGCUUUUCUG
Cotesia glomerata is the source of this 408-nucleotide long non-coding RNA. RefSeq lists it as uncharacterized. NCBI's taxonomy places the organism in Eukaryota, Metazoa, Arthropoda, Insecta, Hymenoptera, Braconidae. The transcript has 3 exons. The record is from RefSeq and is a predicted model, not a curated record.